RNAcentral lists this unclassified non-coding RNA (229 nucleotides) under plant metagenome. Its description in RNAcentral is "partial contains small subunit ribosomal RNA, internal transcribed spacer 1, and 5.8S ribosomal RNA". The record is from RNAcentral.
CCUCCGUAGGUGAACCUGCGGAGGGAUCAUUACAGAGUUCAUGCCCUACCGGGUAGAUCUCCCACCCUAUUUUAUUAUUACUUUGUUGCUUUGGCGGGCCGUUAGGCUCCGGCCCGACUACCGGCCCCGGCUGGUAAGCGCCCGCCAGAGGACCCAAAACCCUGAAUAUUAGUGUCGUCUGAGUACUAUAUAAUAGUUAAAACUUUCAACAACGGAUCUCUUGGUUCUG